Schistosoma mansoni is the source of this 45-nucleotide non-coding RNA. The record is from Rfam. NCBI's taxonomy places the organism in Eukaryota, Metazoa, Platyhelminthes, Trematoda, Strigeidida, Schistosomatidae.
AUCCAGCUGAUGAGUCCUUAAUAGGACAAAACUCGCAUCCUGGAU